UUGACGGUACCCUACUAGAAAGGAGCCGCUAACUUCGUGCCAGAAGCGUCGGUAAUACGGGGGCUCCAAGCGUUAUCCGGUGUUAUUGGGCGUAAAGAGUCGUGUAGGUGGUUGGGUAAGUUAUCUUUCAAAUAUCUUUGCUUAACAAAGAGGAGGGGGAUAAUACUGCUCGACUAGAAUUUUCUCAAGGGAGAUCGGAACUGAGGGAGGAGUAGUGAAAUGCGUUGAUACCCUCGGGAACACCAGUGGCGUAGGCGGAUCUCUGGGAGAAGAUUGACACUGAGACACGAAAGCUAGGGGAGCGAAGCAGAUUAGAGACCUGCGUAGUCCUAGCCGUAAACGCAUGCUUGCUAGCUGCAUGAAUCUACCUUCGGGUGGUAUCGUGUGGCGAAGGUAACCCGUUAAGCAAGCCGCCUGGAAAGUACGGCCGCAAGGCUGAAAUUCAAAGGAAUUGGCGGGGAGGCACACAACCAGUGGAACAUGUGGUUUAAUUCGAGACUAACCGAAGAACCUCACCAGGGUUUGACAUGUAGCUGCACGUCUUAAGAAAUUAAGACUCUCUUGAAGGUGCUACACAGGUGCUGCAUGGCUGUCGUCAGCUCGUUCCGUGAGGAGUGCCCUUAAGUGGGACAACGAGCGCAACCCCUAUUACAUGUUAGAAAUGUCAUGUAAGACUGCCUUGCCAUUCGGCGGGGAGGAAGGAGGGGCAGACGUCAAGUCCGCAUGGUCCUUAUGCCCUGGGCUACACACAUGUUACAAUGAGUACGGCAAUGAGUCUGUCGCGAGCACGUAAGUGUAAGCUAAUCUCUUAAAUGUACUCUCAGUGGGGAUUGAGGUCUGCAACUCGACCUCAUGAACACGGAAUUGGUAGUAAUC
RNAcentral lists this ribosomal RNA (876 nucleotides) under uncultured organism. RNAcentral's name for it is "bacterial SSU rRNA". It matches the Rfam family "Bacterial small subunit ribosomal RNA", at positions 469 to 1343 of the family's 1533-position model. The record is from RNAcentral.